GUCGACAACAGAGUUUGAUCAUGGCUCAGAUUGAACGCUGGCGGCAGGCCUAACACAUGCAAGUCGAACGGUAACAGGAAGCAGCUUGCUGCUUCGCUGACGAGUGGCGGACGGGUGAGUAAUGUCUGGGAAACUGCCUGAUGGAGGGGGAUAACUACUGGAAACGGUAGCUAAUACCGCAUAACGUCGCAAGACCAAAGAGGGGGACCUUCGGGCCUCUUGCCAUCGGAUGUGCCCAGAUGGGAUUAGCUUGUUGGUGGGGUAACGGCUCACCAAGGCGACGAUCCCUAGCUGGUCUGAGAGGAUGACCAGCCACACUGGAACUGAGACACGGUCCAGACUCCUACGGGAGGCAGCAGUGGGGAAUAUUGCACAAUGGGCGCAAGCCUGAUGCAGCCAUGCCGCGUGUAUGAAGAAGGCCUUCGGGUUGUAAAGUACUUUCAGCGGGGAGGAAGGGAGUAAAGUUAAUACCUUUGCUCAUUGACGUUACCCGCAGAAGAAGCACCGGCUAACUCCGUGCCAGCAGCCGCGGUAAUACGGAGGGUGCAAGCGUUAAUCGGAAUUACUGGGCGUAAAGCGCACGCAGGCGGUUUGUUAAGUCAGAUGUGAAAUCCCCGGGCUCAACCUGGGAACUGCAUCUGAUACUGGCAAGCUUGAGUCUCGUAGAGGGGGGUAGAAUUCCAGGUGUAGCGGUGAAAUGCGUAGAGAUCUGGAGGAAUACCGGUGGCGAAGGCGGCCCCCUGGACGAAGACUGACGCUCAGGUGCGAAAGCGUGGGGAGCAAACAGGAUUAGAUACCCUGGUAGUCCACGCCGUAAACGAUGUCGACUUGGAGGUUGUGCCCUUGAGGCGUGGCUUCCGGAGCUAACGCGUUAAGUCGACCGCCUGGGGAGUACGGCCGCAAGGUUAAAACUCAAAUGAAUUGACGGGGGCCCGCACAAGCGGUGGAGCAUGUGGUUUAAUUCGAUGCAACGCGAAGAACCUUACCUGGUCUUGACAUCCACGGAAGUUUUCAGAGAUGAGAAUGUGCCUUCGGGAACCGUGAGACAGGUGCUGCAUGGCUGUCGUCAGCUCGUGUUGUGAAAUGUUGGGUUAAGUCCCGCAACGAGCGCAACCCUUAUCCUUUGUUGCCAGCGGUCCGGCCGGGAACUCAAAGGAGACUGCCAGUGAUAAACUGGAGGAAGGUGGGGAUGACGUCAAGUCAUCAUGGCCCUUACGACCAGGGCUACACACGUGCUACAAUGGCGCAUACAAAGAGAAGCGACCUCGCGAGAGCAAGCGGACCUCAUAAAGUGCGUCGUAGUCCGGAUUGGAGUCUGCAACUCGACUCCAUGAAGUCGGAAUCGCUAGUAAUCGUGGAUCAGAAUGCCACGGUGAAUACGUUCCCGGGCCUUGUACACACCGCCCGUCACACCAUGGGAGUGGGUUGCAAAAGAAGUAGGUAGCUUAACCUUCGGGAGGGCGCUUACCACUUUGUGAUUCAUGACUGGGGUGAAGUCGUAACAAGGUAACCGUA
This 1515-nucleotide ribosomal RNA is filed under the name Escherichia coli. RNAcentral describes it as "16S ribosomal RNA". It matches the Rfam family "Bacterial small subunit ribosomal RNA". Lineage: Bacteria; Pseudomonadati; Pseudomonadota; Gammaproteobacteria; Enterobacterales; Enterobacteriaceae. The record is from RNAcentral.